AGUGAACGCUGGCGGUAGGCCUAACACAUGCAAGUCGAACGGCAGCACAGUAAGAGCUUGCUCUUACGGGUGGCGAGUGGCGGACGAGUGAGGAAUACAUCGGAAUCUACUUUUUCGUGGGGGAUAACGUAGGGAAACUUACGCUAAUACCGCAUACGACCUACGGGUGAAAGCAGGGGAUCUUCGGACCUUGCGCGAUUGAAUGAGCCGAUGUCGGAUUAGCUAGUUGGCGGGGUAAAGGCCCACCAAGGCGACGAUCCGUAGCUGGUCUGAGAGGAUGAUCAGCCACACUGGAACUGAGACACGGUCCAGACUCCUACGGGAGGCAGCAGUGGGGAAUGUUGGACAAUGGGCGCAAGCCUGAUCCAGCCAUACCGCGUGGGUGAAGAAGGCCUUCGGGUUGUAAAGCCCUUUUGUUGGGAAAGAAAAGCAGCAGGUUAAUACCCCGCUGUUCUGACGGUACCCAAAGAAUAAGCACCGGCUAACUUCGUG
This 492-nucleotide ribosomal RNA is filed under the name uncultured bacterium. RNAcentral's name for it is "partial 16S ribosomal RNA". It matches the Rfam family "Bacterial small subunit ribosomal RNA", at positions 29 to 507 of the family's 1533-position model. The record is from RNAcentral.